RNAcentral lists this long non-coding RNA (3347 nucleotides) under Marmota monax (woodchuck). The stretch from base 853 to 921 matches the Rfam family "tRNA". The record is from RNAcentral. Lineage: Eukaryota; Metazoa; Chordata; Mammalia; Rodentia; Sciuridae.
UCAGGGUCAUUUUCAUUGUCUCAGUCAGUGAUCAAAUGAGUAGGGUUUGCAGCCAGAUAAAUCCUAGGCUCAAAAUCCAGUUCUGCCACUUGAUAGCCACUGUCCUUAGAAAGUUCUGAACUUCUUUAAAAAGAAAAACUUGAUAUUGAACUUGGUAAAAACUUCUUUAUCAAGUUCAAUAUCUAAAAUAUUGGAUCAGUGAUGGUAAUGGUAUAAAUAAUUGUGUGGUUCUAUAAAUGAUAAGAUCAUAUAUAGAGAGUUAUUUGCACAGUGCCUGGCACAUUGUAACAUAUUAUCAUAUCUUUUUUGGGGGGGUUAUCAGGAAUUGAACUCAGGGGUGCUUGAUCACUGAGCCAUAUCCCCAGCCCUAUUUUGUAUUUUAUUUAGAGACAGAGUCUCACUGAGUUGUUUAGCACCUUGCCUUUGCUGAGGCUAGCUUUGAACUCACAACCCUCCUGCCUCAGCCUCCCGAGCUGCUGGGAUCCCAGGCAUGUGCCCCAUGCCUGGCCAUCUCAGCAUAUCUUAGCCAUGACUUUUUUUUUCUUUUUUCUUUUUUUUUUCUAAGAGAGAGAUAGAGAAUUUUAAUAUUUAUUUUUUAGUUUUCAGAGGACACGACUUCUUUGUUUGUAUGUGGUGCUGAGGAUCCAACCCGGGCCGCACUCAUGCCAGGCGAGCGCGCUACUGCUUGAGCCACAUCCCCAGCCCCUUAGCCAUGACUUUUAUUGCUGUUUUUUUAAAAAAUAAAUUUAGAAAUUAUCCUAAAUUCUCAAUAUAUUCAAAUCAUGGGAACUGAAUACCAAAUUAUUAGUCUACAAAUACAUUAUUAGUCUACAAUAAGGUUGCCAAUGAGCUGGGGUUGUGGCUCAGCGGUAGAGCACUCACCUAUCACGUGUGAGGCCCUGGGUUUGAUCCUCAGCACCACAUGUAAAUAAAAUAAACAUAAUGUGUUUUUACAACUAAAAAAUAAAUACUAAAAAAAUAAGGCUGCCAAUCAGGCCAGAUACCAUGUUAUCCUUCCUUUCUCCUCCCUGUGGAUAGGGACAGGGAUUAACAGAAAUUCUUACGCUCCACCCCACAUUUUAAAAAAUAUAUUCUGAUAUGGGUAUUACUCCUUUUUUUUUUCAAUGUCAUUUUACCUUCUUUUCACAGUAUGUCACAUUUCCAAGUUACUUUACAUUGAGCUAUGGCUCCUUAAUUUAAAAUUUCAAUAAAAAAAGAUUAACUCUUCUCUGACCUUUGAGUCCAAGAUCCUGGACACUGAAUUACUUUGGGAACUCUAAUCUCUCUUUCUGUCCAUGGAUGACAGUAUUUGUCCUCAAAGGAAAGAAAAAUAAGUUUUUAUUUGAGAAUCAGAUGAUGUAUCAUAGAGUUGCAAAGAAUUCCCUGCUAGAAAACUCAGUAACAGAAGGCCAAGUGCAUUAGUUAGAGAUGCUAUUGAUGCAAAGGGAAUGGAACCAAGUGUCCUCAGCUGCCCUUAGAUUAUCCUUCCUGAGAUAUUCAUCUGGGAGUAGGUCUUACAUUCCUGACAUUUGCAAAAGGAGCCUGCGGGACUUUUGCCUUAAAUGUAGGACCAGCUGGUAGCUCUCUCCUACAGUCAUCCCUGAAAUAUUGUGAAAUUCCUUUGUUUCCAGGAGCCUAUGAAGGGGACCUCAGAGAUAUGAGUGGGUAAUUACAGAACACUCUUAAAUCAAACUCAUUUCAGGCCCCAGAAUUGGCCAAACAUAUUUGUUUUUGCCCUUCUUUCUCAGCCUUCCUUAUACUUUCUUUUUGUGUGCACAUUUGUUAGUUUACAUAGAAGACUCUAAAACUGAUAAUGAAGUUUAAAUACCUUUGGGGAAAACUGGAUAUUUGUUGUAACUGCUUUUAAGAUUAAAUUAAAAUCCUGAAAGGCAAGAAGUGUAUCAUAGUAAUAUCAAGAAAGAGCAAAUCUCAAACAUGUUAUUUUAGAAAAGAAACUUCAAAUAUGAUUUUAGGUUUAUAGCCUCUCUCAAACAAAACUUCAUAUCUUAGCCUCUUAUUCUGAAGAUUAUGAUUAUGUUGCUUUAGGUUGUUCACUUUAUCCUAUGUAAGAAAAUACAGUGUGUAACAUUUGAGUAUCGUAUUUGUUCAAACUCAAUGUGCCCUCUUGUCCAGUUCUUCUUAUUAUUUGUGGUAGUCAGCUUUCUGUCACUGUAACAAAAUACCUGAGAUAAUCAAAUGAAAAAGAGGAAAGGUUGUAUUGUCUCACAGUUUUGAGACCAGUUGGUCCUGUUGCUUUGGGCCUGUGGUGGCACACAGCAUUAUAAUUGCAAGCAUGUAGUUUCAGAGCAAGCUGCUCACCUUGUGGCAUCUGGGAAGCAAAAAGAGAGAGGAAGGGGCCAAAGUCCUACUGUUCCCUUCAAGGACAUACCCACAGUGACCUAAAACCUUCUGUUAUCACCUCUUACAGGUUCUACCACCUGCCAAUAAAACCAAAUUGGAGAUGAAGCUUUUAACACAUAGGCCUUGGAGUCCAAAUCUAUACUAUAGUAUUGUGGAUGACUAAAAUAUAUUCUUUAUUAAUAGGAUUUGGCUGUUUUACAACUCUUGGAUUUCUACUAUAAGCUUUAUUGACAAUGAAGAAACUUCUAAGGCAUUAAGUAUAACUCAAAGAAAUACCAUACCAUAAUGAAGGUUAGGCUGUUUAGCCACAUUUGAAACUAUUUUUCCCUCCUCUUAGAAGAAAACAUAGGGGAAAGGCUUCUAGACCUUAGACUGAAUAACAUCAAACAGAAGCAAAAAUAGACAAGUGGGAUUACAUCAAGCUUAAAAGUUUCUGCAUAGCAAAAGAAAUCUUUAGCAAAAUUAAAAAGCAACCUGUGGAAUGAGAGAAGAUAUUUCUUGAUGAUAUAUCUGUGGAAUGAGAGAAGAUAUUUCUUGAUGAUAUAUCUGAAAAAAAAAGUCAUCCACAAAUUAUGUAAGUAACUUCUAUAAUUCAAUGGCAAAACAAUCUGAUUUAGGCAAAGGACCUGCCUGAAUAGACAUUUCUCCUGAAAAAAACAUUAAUAUUUGGCAGGUAAAUGGAAAGGUGCUCGAUCCUACUGAUAAUCAGGGAAAUGCAAAUCAAAACCACAGUGAGAUAUCACCUUGAGUAUAUUAGGAUGGCUAUUAAUCAGUUUUUUUAAAUGACAAGUGUUCAUGAGGAUGUUAAAAAAAGGAACAUUUGAAUACUGUCGGUGGGAAUAUAAAUUGGUGCAGCCAAUUUAUGCAUGAAUCAACAUGAAUUUUCCUCAAAAAAAAAGAACUACCAUUUGGUUUAGCAAUCCUAUUUCUGGGUAUAUAUCCAGAGAAAAUAAAAUCAGUAUGUGAAAGAGACAUCUGCAUUUCUG